AGGGCCGUCUGACCCGUCGCUGCGUCCGGAUAGGGCGCAGAGGAAAGUCCGGACUCGCGCGAGCCCGCUCCGCUCCGGCGGACGGCGCUCAGAAAGACCGCUCGGGUCAAUAACCCGAGGGACGGAGGGGUGCAAGCCCCCCGUCACGUCACGUGCAGCAGAGAGCAGACCAGCCGAUGGCGCCGGCUACCCGGGUAGCCGGCGCACAGGUGAUGGGUGAAAGGGUGGGGUAAGAGCCCACCGGCGGUCUCCCGUGAGGGGCCGGCCAGGUAAACACCGGCGCGAGCAAGCCAAAUUGCCCCGGCAACCGGCUUCUGCCGGGUGUCCGGGGCUGGUAGGUGCAGCCCGGGACCCGGGGACUCCCCGGGUCCCGGGCCCGAGAGCAGCAAGAGGCUCUCGGAGAUGGAUGACGGGAUAGAACAGAAUCCGGCUUACGGGACGGCCCUGCCC
This 450-nucleotide RNase P RNA is filed under the name Rubrobacter sp. RNAcentral describes it as "RNase P RNA component class A". It matches the Rfam family "Bacterial RNase P class A". Rfam says of the family: Ribonuclease P (RNase P) is a ubiquitous endoribonuclease, found in archaea, bacteria and eukarya as well as chloroplasts and mitochondria. Its best characterised activity is the generation of mature 5'-ends of tRNAs by cleaving the 5'-leader elements of precursor-tRNAs. The record is from RNAcentral. Lineage: Bacteria; Bacillati; Actinomycetota; Rubrobacteria; Rubrobacterales; Rubrobacteraceae.